GACGAACGCUGGCGGCGUGCUUAACACAUGCAAGUCGAACGGAAAGGCCCUGCUUUUGUGGGGUGCUCGAUUGGCGAACGGGUGAGUAACACGUGAGUAACCUGCCCUUGACUUUGGGAUAACUUCAGGAAACUGGGGCUAAUACCGGAUAGGAGCUCCUGCUGCAUGGUGGGGGUUGGAAAGUUUCGGCGGUUGGGGAUGGACUCGCGGCUUAUCAGCUUGUUGGUGGGGUAGUGGCUUACCAAGGCUUUGACGGGUAGCCGGCCUGAGAGGGUGACCGGCCACAUUGGGACUGAGAUACGGCCCAGACUCCUACGGGAGGCAGCAGUGGGGAAUAUUGCACAAUGGGCGGAAGCCUGAUGCAGCAACGCCGCGUGCGGGAUGACGGCCUUCGGGUUGUAAACCGCUUUCGCCUGUGACGAAGCGUGAGUGACGGUAAUGAGUAAAGAAGCACCGGCUAACUACGUG
Molecule: ribosomal RNA, 468 nt
Filed under: uncultured bacterium
Lineage: Bacteria
Description: partial 16S ribosomal RNA
Rfam family: Bacterial small subunit ribosomal RNA
Source: RNAcentral